Equus asinus (donkey) is the source of this 3234-nucleotide long non-coding RNA. Lineage: Eukaryota; Metazoa; Chordata; Mammalia; Perissodactyla; Equidae. The record is from Ensembl.
AAAAUGGGUAAAUAAUGUAUGGCACAUUAAGACAGUGGAAUAUUAUAUAGCAAUGAAGAUAAAUUAACUACAGCCACAGGCAACAACAGAAAUGAAUCUCAAAACUUAGUAUUUAGUGAAAGAAGCCAGACACCAAAGAAUACAUCCUGAAUGCAUAAUGUUCAAAAUCAAGUAAAGUGGGACGUUAGGAUUUGGGGAUACGUGCUUAGGUAGUAAAGCUAUUUUUAAAAAGGAAGCAAUCACUGUAAAAGUCAAGGUUAUGGGAGGGAGGGAAUAACCAUAGCCAAGGGGCACAAGGGAGCUGGUGGGGGGCUAUGCUAUUUCUUGACCUGGGCUUUGUGGAUGUUUGUUCCGUGACAAAUCAUUGCACUGUACUUUUUGCGUGCACUUCUCUGAAUGGAUGUUGUAUUUCACGAUAAAACAGUUUAAAGACAAGCAAAUAAUUUGCACAUAUCAGCACUUUAUUAUCAGGUACAAGUUACUGGCAUACCACUGCCCCUGCCCCUAAAACAACCUCCUUGUCCUCUAAAAUUGCAAGUAUUCCAAUGACACUGUAACUUUACGAGUUCAGCCCUGACCCAUCAGGGGCACAAGGGUGGAUGCGGGAGACAAGGGCCCCAUUGACAAGGUCUCUUUAAACAGGGUGGGCCAGGAAACCCUCAGGAGAUGAGAAGCCUUGGGACCUUGGGCCUCAGUUUCCUCGUCUGGAGCACAGAGAUAAUAACAGCCCCAGUCCCCUCCUCCCGGAGCGAUGAUGAGAACUGGAUGAAUGAAAUAUGAACUCGCUCACACCUCUGCCUGAACAUACGACAUGGUUUACAAGUGUUGGCCUUAUUAAACCGCAUGCAAAACCCGGUUUGCAGGAGGACAGUUCAUGCAUCUAAGAAGAGAGGCUUCAGAGUCCCAAAGAGACACUGAGUACCCAUCCGUUGGCAUGGCCAUCCCCGGGCCCUGCUCAGUUCCUGAGCGUUCCCUGCCACUCCCUUUUAACACAAGGUAUGGGAACAGGACUUCCUCUGUGUUAGAAACAACAGCCCUGACCUGACAUCAAGGAAUCCAGCCUAAAAACGCGGCAAGGGAAGAAACACAAAAGUUCCUUUCCCCAGACCCCUCUUUCUUUUGGGGCUGGGGGUUGCAGCCAAGUUCACAGAAGACCACAGAAUCUGCAGCGGCCCUCUGUGGCUGAGUUGGCAGUACCCUAUAUCACAUGCAAAAUUGCAAUGUUCCAGCAGGGGCCAAAACUGUGCUCCAGCUGCCCUUUGAUCUGAAAGAAAUGCCAGGCUGUAUGCUCUGGCAGGAAAAGCUGUCAUCGCCUUUGCCUCUUGCUCCCAAAGAGACAAUGGUCUGGGCUGUCCCAGGCUUCCUCAGGCACACAGUGAGGCCACCCACUCAACCCCCAUUUCCUUCAGGGGAAACAGUUUCCUCCGCCUUCUCCCCACACACUUCUUCCACCCAGGCUGUGUACCCAACUCCUAAUCCAGAAGGGGUCAGAGGCGACCACUUGGAGAGUGUGGCUCUCCUGCAAAACUGCAUGAGAAAUGGGCCGAGCGAGGAAGGACCCGACGGAGCCCACAGUCUGGGUUCAAGUCCUGCCUUUUGGACUGCCCACAUCCUAAGCCUCUCUCACCCUCAGUGUGCUGCUCUGUUCAAAUGCCUGCACCGUUUUCUAACACAGCUAUUGCAAGCACCAAACCCUAGCUUCCAUCACUUACUUAGUGCCUAGCAUGUGCCAGGGUGUGGAAAGCAUAUUACUUCUAAUCUCUCUUUUAUUCUUCAUAGUAUCCCUAGGAGAUCCCACUUUUCAUCCAACCACCUUUGGGUCCUGGAGGGGAAAGUGAGACGCAGGCAACAGAAGGGACCAGAUCCCCUGGCUACCAGCCCUCAGCUCUUCCCAUCACCCUUGGCGCCACCGCCCACGAUGGAUGUGACUCCCCAGGUAACUCAGCGCUAAGUCAGGCCUGGGGCAAUUCAGUCCCGUUAUUUCCUGCGCCGCGAAAGCGCCAGGUGUCUCUGCCGGCGGUCGUGCAUCCGCACCUGUGCACAGAGAGGGCAGCAGACCUGCCCGCACCGGGAGCCAGCGGCGCGCACGACCCGAGCGCGGGCGCCGGGGCGGCUGGAAGUAACUGUCCCGCAGCCGCUCGCGCCGUCACUGCUUCCAAACCCCUCUCUGCCCAAGCCGGAGAGGCCGCGCCUGGCUGCGACCUCGCGGGCGCCCAGACAGCGCCGCGCCCGCCCAUGCCCGGGGCUCCGGCCGCGGCCGGGGAAGCGCGCAAGACCCGGGCGCCCGGCGGCGAGGACUCCCUUUUAUGUCCAGGAAUGAGGCGCGCACCGCAGCCGCGCCCGCCGCCAAAACCAACCUCCCAGGGUGCAGAGGCGGCCGGUGCCACCCUCAGGCCGGGUCGCUUACCUGUCGCGGAGCGGGUCCGGGUGACAGCGGGGAGGAGCGCGGAGACCGCGAGCAGCAGCAGCGGGCGCCAGCACGGCCCGUUCCUCCUGCAAGAAGCGGCCGAGGGGGAGAGGUGAGGGGGGCGGGCGGCCGCGGCGCGGGCCGGGGCGCGGGGAGAGGGUCCUACCUGGGCGCCAUCCCGCGGGUCUGCCGGGGCGCCGGGCGCGCGGAGGCGGAGUGGCGCUGGUGGCCGCUCGCGGGGCUGCAGGAACAAAGGCGGAGCCGGGCGGCGGCGGCCCGCGGGAGGCUCGGCCCGCGCCCUGACUCAGCCGCGCUGAAACCCGACUCCGCCGCGCCCCCGCGCUCCCCGCGCGCCUUCCCCGGCCGGCGGCGCCCCACGCCCCACGCCCCUCUCGCCCUCGACGGGCGCGCGCUCCCGCCGCCGCGUCCACCCCGCGCGGCCUUAUGUAACCCUCGAGACAGCCCCGCGCCCGCGCGCCUGGGGCAGCGGGCCGCCGCCGCCUCCCGCCCUCUCCUCUGCCCCGUCGGGGCUGCCCCGCGGAGCAAGCGCUCUCCUUUCACCGGCCAAUGGAAGCCUCUCAACGGCCCAGGGAGGCUGGCAUCCCGGUGACCUCCCUAAUGACAGACGGAGAAACUGAGGCUCAGAGAGAUGGGGCGCGUGUCUCAAGGUCACACAGCUGGACUGAGCUCCUGACCCCUGUGCCCCGCCCUGCACGCCUGGCCCGGGAACCCACGGAAGGCCAAGGAGUGGCCCGGGCUGGGGGGUAUAAGUGAUAGUACAUAUAAAUAAAUGCAGCAAAGAUAAUCCUAAUAAAAAUUUUAAAUAU